AUCACAUUGAAGCACCAGUUCCCAUCUGAUCACUGAAGUUAAGCAACAUUGAGUCUGAUCAGUACCUAGAUGUGUGACUACUUGGGAAUAUUAGGUGCUGUAAG
Non-coding RNA from Acanthosepion pharaonis, 104 nucleotides. NCBI's taxonomy places the organism in Eukaryota, Metazoa, Mollusca, Cephalopoda, Sepiida, Sepiidae. The record is from the annotation of a GenBank genome assembly.